This 85-nucleotide transfer RNA is filed under the name Halalkalibacter oceani. It matches the Rfam family "tRNA". From Rfam's summary of the family: Transfer RNA (tRNA) molecules are approximately 80 nucleotides in length. Lineage: Bacteria; Bacillati; Bacillota; Bacilli; Caryophanales; Bacillaceae. The record is from Rfam by way of RNAcentral.
GCGGUUGUGGCGGAAUGGCAGACGCGCUAGGUUGAGGGCCUAGUGGGAGUUAAAUCCCGUGGAGGUUCAAGUCCUCUCAACCGCA